AGUACCCAUAGUCAUGUCUAAAAAAUAAUCAUGUGUAAGCAAGCAAUUUUGUUUAUGUUUUGGUGAGGCCAAUGCACCGACAGUGUCUCGUCUUGCUAUACAUGGAAUCCUUAACUGUACAUGUAUAUGAAUAUAUGCAAAUGUGAAUGUAUUCAUUUCACAAUAUUAGGAGUCAAACCAACAAAGAGGCGUAUUCUCGAACAUGAUGAAUCUGAUGAUGAAAUUCCUUCACCACCAAUUAAACAAUCAAAAGAUAAUGACGAUGUGGAAAAUGAAGCAGAAGAUGACAUUGAAGAUGUGGUAACAAUUAACUGAUUGUGAAAGCAUUCUCACUAUAAUUACAAUUCUAUAGGAUAAAGAUUAUGCCUGUUUUGAUGAUGGAAGUUGUGAAACACCUAAAGGACAAACUAAACCACUGUCAACUCAAGUCACUCAGUCUACUACACAAACAGCACCAUCAUAUUCACCAAUGG
This is a long non-coding RNA of Amphimedon queenslandica, 473 nucleotides long. RefSeq lists it as uncharacterized. The record is from RefSeq and is a predicted model, not a curated record. NCBI's taxonomy places the organism in Eukaryota, Metazoa, Porifera, Demospongiae, Haplosclerida, Niphatidae. The transcript has 3 exons.